Molecule: RNA transcript, 2583 nt
Organism: Clarias gariepinus (North African catfish)
Lineage: Eukaryota; Metazoa; Chordata; Actinopteri; Siluriformes; Clariidae
Gene name: cadherin-1-like
Exons: 17
Source: RefSeq, a predicted model, not a curated record
UGCCCAUGCUUAUUCACCUACUGAUCCCAGCGUUAAAGAAGAUCCCAUGGAGGUUAUAGUCCAAGUGCUGGACCAGAACGAUAACAGUCCUGUGUUUACCCAAAAUGCAUUCCAUGGCAGUGUACGAGAAGCUGCAAAAAUAGGAGUUGAGUUCAUGACCAUCACAGCCACUGAUGCAGACGAUCCAGACACUGACAAUGCUGAUGUCAGGUACUCCAUCAUCAGUCAGACUCCACCAGAGCCAAAACCAAACAUGUUUGCCAUCAACCCUGUCAGUGGAGCAAUUCGAGUGAAUGCUGAUGGACUGGACAGAGCGAAAUAUCCUGAAUACAAUCUGGAGAUUCAAGCAGCAGAUCAAAAAGGAGAAGGUCGUGCAGCCAAAGGAAAAGCUAUCAUCACUGUAACAGACAACAAUGACGAGUCCUCGGUGAAUUGGGUGAUUCCACCAAUCUCAUUGAUGGAAAAUGACGCUAAAGGUCCGUUUCCCAAGCAGGUUGUCCAGAUUAAGUCCAUUCAAGCCAAAGAAACACCAAUGGUGUACAGCAUCACCGGUGAAGGAGCAGACCUGCCUCCAGUGGGACUUUUCACAAUAGCAAGAAACACUGGAUGGCUCUCUGUGUCAAGGCCUCUAGACAGAGAAGUAAAGGCUAAAUAUGUGGUGGUUGUCCGUGCUCAUUCACCUACUGAUCCCAGCGUUAAAGAAGAUCCCAUAGAGGUUAUAGUCCAAGUGCUGGACCAGAAUGAUAACAGUCCUGUAUUCACCCAAAAUCCAUUCCUUGGCAGUGUACCAGAGACUGCAAAAAUAGGAGUUGAGUUCAUGACCAUCACAGCCACUGAUGCAGACGAUCCAGACACUGACAAUGCUGAUGUCAGGUACUCCAUCAUCAGUCAGACUCCACCAGAGCCAAAACCAAACAUGUUUGCCAUCAACCCUGUCAGUGGAGCAAUUCGAGUGAAUGCUGAUGGACUGGACAGAGCGAAAUAUCCUGAAUACAAUCUGGAGAUUCAAGCAGCAGAUCAAAAAGGAGAAGGUCGUGCAGCCAAAGGAAAAGCUAUCAUCACUGUAACAGACAACAACGACAAGUCCUCGGUGAAUUGGGUGAUUCCACCAAUCUCAUUGAUGGAAAAUGACGCUAAAGGUCCGUUUCCUAAGCAGGUUGUCCAGAUUAAGUCCAUUCAAGCCAAAGAAACACCAAUGGUGUACAGCAUCACCGGUGAAGGAGCAGACCUGCCUCCAGUGGGACUUUUCACAAUAGCAAGAAACACUGGAUGGCUCUCUGUGUCAAGGCCUCUAGACAGAGAAGUAAAGGCUAAAUAUGUGCUGGUUGCCCAUGCUUAUUCACCUACUGAUCCCAGCAUUAAAGAAGAUCCCAUAGAAGUAAUAGUCCAAGUGCUGGAUCAGAAUGAUAACAGUCCUGUCUUCACCCAAAAUCCAUUCCUUGGAAGGGUAUCAAAAACUGAAAAAAUAGGAGUUGAGUUCAUGACCAUCACAGCCACUGAUGCAGACGAUCCAGACACUGACAAUGCUGCUGUCAGCUACUCCAUCAUCAGUCAGACUCCACCAGAGCCAAAACCAAACAUGUUUGCCAUCAACCCUGUCAGUGGAGCAAUUCGAGUGAAUGCUGAUGGACUGGACAGAGCGAAAUAUCCUGAAUACAAUCUGGAGAUUCAAGCAGCAGAUCAAAAAGGAGAAGGUCGUGCAGCCAAAGGAAAAGCUAUCAUCACUGUAACAGACAACAAUGACGAGUCCUCGACAAAGGUGAAUUGGGUGAUUCCACCAAUCUCAUUGAUGGAAAAUGACGCUAAAGGUCCGUUUCCCAAGCAGGUUGUCCAGAUUAAGUCCAUUCAAGCCAAAGAAACACCAAUGGUGUACAGCAUCACCGGUGAAGGAGCAGACCUGCCUCCAGUGGGACUUUUCACAAUAGCAAGAAACACUGGAUGGCUCUCUGUGUCAAGGCCUCUAGACAGAGAAGUAAAGGCUAAAUAUGCGGUAAGAAUUUGUCUUUCCAAUUUUGCUUUAUCUUUUAUUAGGUCAUGGCAAAUGUUCUAAUAGACUGAGGUAUAUGCCAACAGAAAAUAUGCUCCUGUAUAAGAAUAUUUUUUUUGGUUUUAUUAAUUUACCUUAUUUUUAUUUUUCAUCUUAACUUCAGCUGCUAGUCCAUGCUUAUUCACCUACUGAUCCCAGCAUUAAAGAAGAUCCCAUAGAAGUAAUAGUCCAAGUGCUGGAUCAGAAUGAUAACAGUCCUGUCUUCACCCAAAAUCCAUUCCUUGGAAGGGUAUCAAAAACUGAAAAAAUAGGAGUUGAGUUCAUGACCAUCACAGCCACUGAUGCAGACGAUCCAGACACUGACAAUGCUGAUGUCAGCUACUCCAUCAUCAGUCAGACUCCACCAGAGCCAAAACCAAACAUGUUUGCCAUCAACCCUGUCAGUGGAGCAAUUCGAGUGAAUGCUGAUGGACUGGACAGAGCGAAAUAUCCUGAAUACAAUCUGGAGAUUCAAGCAGCAGAUCAAGCAGGAGAAGGUCGUGCAGCCAAAGGAAAAGCUAUCAUCACUGUAACAGACAACAAUGACAACUGACUCG